ACUAGCUACUGGAUCAUAAGUGUGUCACUUAUGAAUAUGUAAAGAAAAAUGAUGAUGUCAUUUACUAUUAGUGUUGUCCAAAGCUGGUGCCAGAAGACUCGGUAAAGCCAGAGACGCAAGCGUUAAUCAUCUUGAUCAGGCGUAAAGGGUUUGUAGGCUUCUUUAACUUAAUUAAAGAUAGAAUCAUAUAGAGGUCACUGGUAAGAUAAUUCUAAGAGGAGGGUUGAUAUCUGUAGAUACUUAGAGGAAUAAUAAAUAGCGAAGGCACUUUUCCAAUUAAUGAUUGACGCUGAGACACGAAGGUGAGGAAAGACAAUAGGAUUAGAUACCCUGGCAUCCCUCUCUGUAAACGAUGAAUGGUAGUUGCUAGUGUAAAAAUUAGUGGCGAUGCUAACGCGUUAACCAUUCCGCCUUGUGAGUACGAUUGCAAAGUUGAAAACAAAAAAAUUAGUCGGUUUCGGAGUAAACGAAGUGAAGCAUGUUAUUUAAUUC
RNAcentral lists this ribosomal RNA (492 nucleotides) under Claustula fischeri. Its description in RNAcentral is "partial small subunit ribosomal RNA". It matches the Rfam family "Bacterial small subunit ribosomal RNA", at positions 408 to 952 of the family's 1533-position model. The record is from RNAcentral. Lineage: Eukaryota; Fungi; Basidiomycota; Agaricomycetes; Phallales; Claustulaceae.